GCGCUCAGAGCAGCUGGUCGCGUCUAAGUACGUGUGUCUGCAUCGUCGCACAUAUUUAGCACGACUGGCUGUUCUGUAC
This 79-nucleotide microRNA precursor is filed under the name Petromyzon marinus (sea lamprey). RNAcentral describes it as "microRNA pma-mir-4541 precursor". The record is from miRBase by way of RNAcentral. Lineage: Eukaryota; Metazoa; Chordata; Hyperoartia; Petromyzontiformes; Petromyzontidae.